This 205-nucleotide ribosomal RNA is filed under the name Clostridioides difficile. RNAcentral's name for it is "partial 16S ribosomal RNA". It matches the Rfam family "Bacterial small subunit ribosomal RNA", at positions 796 to 1001 of the family's 1533-position model. Lineage: Bacteria; Bacillati; Bacillota; Clostridia; Peptostreptococcales; Peptostreptococcaceae. The record is from RNAcentral.
CACGCUGUAAACGAUGAGUACUAGGUGUCGGGGGUUACCCCCUUCGGUGCCGCAGCUAACGCAUUAAGUACUCCGCCUGGGAAGUACGCUCGCAAGAGUGAAACUCAAAGGAAUUGACGGGGACCCGAACAAGUAGCGGAGCAUGUGGUUUAAUUCGAAGCAACGCGAAGAACCUUACCUAAGCUUGACAUCCCAAUGACAUCUC